AACGAACGCUGGCGGCAUGCCUAACACAUGCAAGUCGAACGAGACCUUCGGGUCUAGUGGCGCACGGGUGCGUAACGCGUGGGAACCUGCCCUUAGGUUCGGAAUAACUCCCCGAAAGGGGUGCUAAUACCGGAUAAUGUCUUCGGACCAAAGAUUUAUCGCCUUUGGAUGGGCCCGCGUUGGAUUAGCUAGUUGGUAGGGUAAAAGCCUACCAAGGCGACGAUCCAUAGCUGGUCUGAGAGGAUGAUCAGCCACACUGGGACUGAGACACGGCCCAGACUCCUACGGGAGGCAGCAGUGGGGAAUAUUGGACAAGGGGCGAAAGCCUGAUCCAGCAAUGCGGCGUGAGUGAUGAAGGCCUUAGGGUUGUAAAGCUCUUUUACCCGGGAUGAUAAUGACAGUACCGGGAGAAUAAGCUCCGGCUAACUCCGUG
This 433-nucleotide ribosomal RNA is filed under the name uncultured bacterium. Its description in RNAcentral is "partial 16S ribosomal RNA". It matches the Rfam family "Bacterial small subunit ribosomal RNA", at positions 29 to 507 of the family's 1533-position model. The record is from RNAcentral.